UAUCUCGUGUGGGUUGAUAGAACUCUUAGGAGCAGUCAGUGCAGAUGUAUCCAAAGUCAUCAUAAUAUGGUAAUAGGGAUAAAGCAAUAUCUCAUCAUUAAUGCAGUCACAAUUUAAUAAGAUGGAACUACAUAGUAAGUACAGGCUAUUAGAGUCUAAGUACACUGUUCAUAUUAUGAUAUGCUAGAACUAUGCUACUGUCCCUUUAUAAUUUCAGCAUAACUGCCUUUGCCUAUAGACAUACGAGCAUCUGGUUAGGACAUGAG
Pelobates cultripes (western spadefoot toad) is the source of this 266-nucleotide non-coding RNA. NCBI's taxonomy places the organism in Eukaryota, Metazoa, Chordata, Amphibia, Anura, Pelobatidae. The record is from the annotation of a GenBank genome assembly.